This 1092-nucleotide long non-coding RNA is filed under the name Numida meleagris (helmeted guineafowl). Its description in RNAcentral is "lncRNA (ENSNMEG00000017488.1)". The record is from RNAcentral. Lineage: Eukaryota; Metazoa; Chordata; Aves; Galliformes; Numididae.
AUGUUCCGACCCCUCCCCUUCGUACCCCCCGCCCCCGAUAAAGCCCCAGCUCCCCCAAGCCCCAUCAAGGGACAGGGAUACCGCCGGGGCCUCCCCUCCAUCCUCUCACCUCGCCUCCGAGGCCCUUCCGGCUCGGGGGCAUCCCCGCCGGGCCUUCUCCCCCGGGGCAGCUCGCCCCCUGGGGCCUGCUCCCUGCGCCUUCCCCACAGGGCCGCUACCCUCCCACCUCCUCCCUCUCCACAGCGGGCCCGGCCUCGCCCCUCAGCUCACCCCUCAGCUCGCCCGAGCCCUGCCCGGACUCCUCCUGCCCCCUCCGAGCGAUCCCAUCGGACCAGCCGCUCCCCUCAACCGCCCGCACCACUUCCCCUCCCCCCCACCCUCAGAACGACUCCGCCGGUCGGGGAAGAACUCGCCCAGCUCCCGGCCCCGCAGCCGGCCUCGCCGCAGGCAGCUCACCUGCAUGGACGCCAUGAUGGAUCCUCCCCCUCCCGCCGCGCCGCCAGCCCGCACCCUCACAGACGCAGCGCCGCGCGCCCGCCUGCUUCCCCGCCCUCGGCUGUCACGUGGCCACAAGGCCGCGCAUGCGCCAGGAGGAGGUCGUGCGGGCGAGUGGCGUGGCUGCCCGGGGGGUUUUGUCCUUGGUGUUGCUGCCCUCACCGCGUGGGAGGGGUGAAGAGACAGCGCUGGCCGCUGCCGGUCUCCUCCCGCUCGGGUUGCAGCCGGCGGGUGUGCCGCCUGCGGAGGGACUGCCCAGCUGAGUUCCGUCAGGCGGCUAGGCGUGAGGGAGCCGUUGGGAAGCGCCUGCUGAGCUGGGGAGCCGUGCCUCGCGGGGAUGCGCGGCUGAGGGCAGCGCUUCCGCCUGAGGGGGUUGGCUCCCGGCGGCCGGCAGGCAUUGAGUUAACGCCGGGCACCGCUCCGCUUGUGGCUGCGAGCUGCGUGCUGUGCUGUGCUGCUGACGUUGUUCCUAACGAAGGAAGAAGCUGCUCGUUACCUCCCGUGCAGCACUACCGCCUUUCUGAUUUUUUUUUUUCUUUCCCUGACGUUGUAGGGACAGGCGUGCCCAAACUGGCAAGGGCAUAUUUCAGAAGUUAG